AAGGUCGUAACAAGGUUUCCGUAGGUGAACCUGCGGAAGGAUCAUUACUGGGUUAGCCCUCGGGCGCAACUCCACCCUUUGUAACCGCGGCCCGGAUUCGGCGCCUGGCGGGGAGCACCCCCCGGUUUCGCGGGGGGUCCCCGCCUGCCGGAAUUUAGCCCAAACCCUGCCUAGAAAUUUGAAGUCUGAGAACAAGUUAAAUUAAACAAAAG
RNAcentral lists this unclassified non-coding RNA (212 nucleotides) under plant metagenome. Its description in RNAcentral is "partial contains small subunit ribosomal RNA and internal transcribed spacer 1". The stretch from base 1 to 47 matches the Rfam family "Eukaryotic small subunit ribosomal RNA", at positions 1785 to 1831 of the family's 1831-position model. The record is from RNAcentral.